RNAcentral lists this ribosomal RNA (206 nucleotides) under uncultured eukaryote. Its description in RNAcentral is "partial 18S ribosomal RNA". It matches the Rfam family "Eukaryotic small subunit ribosomal RNA", at positions 1299 to 1458 of the family's 1831-position model. The record is from RNAcentral.
UGGUGGAGUGAUUUGUCUGGUUAAUUCCGUUAACGAACGAGAUCUCAACCUGUUAACUAGUUUGCCUAUUGCCUGUACGGGUGAAGCCAGGCAACGUGUGCUUGGGUGUAAAAGCCUGGGUGCGCUCGCCUGGGGAUCCUUGGUGUAUAGGUCGAACUUCUUAGAGGGACUAUUGGGGAAUACCCAAUGGAAGUGAGCCAAUAACA